This is a small nuclear RNA of Hippopotamus amphibius kiboko, 107 nucleotides long. NCBI's taxonomy places the organism in Eukaryota, Metazoa, Chordata, Mammalia, Artiodactyla, Hippopotamidae. The record is from RefSeq and is a predicted model, not a curated record.
GUGCUCACUCCAGCAGCACAUGUACUAAAAUUGGAACAAUACAGAGAAGAUUCUCACGGCCCCUGCACAGGGAUGACAUACAAAUUCACGUAGCAUUCCAUAUUUUG